RNAcentral lists this ribosomal RNA (490 nucleotides) under uncultured bacterium. RNAcentral's name for it is "partial 16S ribosomal RNA". It matches the Rfam family "Bacterial small subunit ribosomal RNA", at positions 30 to 507 of the family's 1533-position model. The record is from RNAcentral.
AUUGAACGCUGGCGGCAGGCCUAACACAUGCAAGUCGAACGGUAACAGGAAGCAGCUUGCUGCUUCGCUGACGAGUGGCGGACGGGUGAGUAAUGUCUGGGAAACUGCCUGAUGGAGGGGGAUAACUACUGGAAACGGUAGCUAAUACCGCAUAACGUCGCAAGACCAAAGAGGGGGACCUUAGGGCCUCUUGCCAUCGGAUGUGCCCAGAUGGGAUUAGCUACUAGGUGGGGUAACGGCUCACCUAGGCGACGAUCCCUAGCUGGUCUGAGAGGAUGACCAGCCACACUGGAACUGAGACACGGUCCAGACUCCUACGGGAGGCAGCAGUGGGGAAUAUUGCACAAUGGGCGCAAGCCUGAUGCAGCCAUGCCGCGUGUAUGAAGAAGGCCUUCGGGUUGUAAAGUACUUUCAGCGGGGAGGAAGGGAGUAAAGUUAAUACCUUUGCUCAUUGACGUUACCCGCAGAAGAAGCGCCGGCUAACUCCGUG